UAAUUAACUCUUUAAUGAAUACUAGAGACUUAACUACAGACUGAGUUUUGGAAGCCAGCAUUUUCAUAGCUACACAAGUAGAUAAAUCUGAUAGUGGAGAGCUUUGCAUUCAGCUAUUUCCUUUUGACAAAAUUAGGCAAAAAUCAUCCAUUUUAUGCCAUCUGUCCCAGAGUUCAACCCCAAUGGAAGGUUGAAAGAAGAGGUCCCCUAUGUCUGCAAGUUCACUGUCAGCCCAAACCCAACAAUGCAUGUAGCUCCCAACUAAUCAGACCAGAUGUAAAGCCUCUAUUUAUUCUCUGCAGGAUUCAUCCUUUGCCAGAAUUCAAGUGCUUGCAAACAGGAGAUCUCUGCAAAUCCCAGUUGAGCACCCCAGCUAAAAGAUAUGAAUAUGGAUGACGAUGAUGCUUUCACCCAUCAGAUACAAAACGUUUAGUUAGCUUCAUACCUCUCUGGCUGGAAAUACAAUAAAAUAUACUCAGCAUCCAAA
Molecule: long non-coding RNA, 487 nt
Organism: Mauremys reevesii (Reeves's turtle)
Lineage: Eukaryota; Metazoa; Chordata; Testudines; Geoemydidae
Exons: 3
Source: RefSeq, a predicted model, not a curated record